GUGUAAGAGGACCUGUAGGCUGAACAAAUAUGAUACAAAGGACAUUUUCAAGAAGCCGAAUUCAUACUCCUAACUCACUGCAAGACUUUAAAGAAGACCUGCUAAAGAGAUUGAUUAUGUCGCAACCAGCCCAUCUCCGAGUGAUACUUUCAGACCAUGAUGUCCAGAAAUCCCUGGAACAGUUGCAGAACUUCAUUAAGUUGUUCGAGAUACAUUUAGGAUUUCUGGGGAAUUCAUCAUCGGCAGGGAGCUCCCAGCCCUGCAGGACACCUACCACACACGAUGCCUCAGGAAAGGCUGCUAAAUGGACAUUGAUACACUAUCGCCACUUUCGCACUCGUCACUUUACACACUGUCACUUUCAACUUACUGUUUGCACUAGCACUAAUAUUGUAUCAGAAAUAUUGCACUACCUGUAACUCCCACACUGGAUUUGUCUGUAGGUUAGUAUAAGUUUACUAGGUUAGCAUAGAUUAUUAUAGGUUAGCAUAGAUUAUUAUAUGUUUAUUAUA
Long non-coding RNA from Clupea harengus (Atlantic herring), 512 nucleotides. Lineage: Eukaryota; Metazoa; Chordata; Actinopteri; Clupeiformes; Clupeidae. The record is from Ensembl.